Molecule: long non-coding RNA, 374 nt
Organism: Carassius auratus (goldfish)
Lineage: Eukaryota; Metazoa; Chordata; Actinopteri; Cypriniformes; Cyprinidae
Exons: 3
Source: RefSeq, a predicted model, not a curated record
AUGAUAUGCAAAAAGUUCAUGAAGAUAGUGAAAAAGAAACUCUCCAAUAAAGCAACAGUGGAUGAAAUCGAAACCAAGCUGAAAAAGGUCUGUCAUAUGAUGACAGCGUAUUUGAAGAAAGAUGAUUGCAAUAAAUUAUUUGAGGAAUCUAUGAAGAUGCUGAUCAAAGAGCUGAAGACAAAAGACGGGCUAAACACCUUCUGUACUAGAAUUCAUUACUGCAAGUCAGAACCAUAAAGGAGAUCAUUCUCAUACAUGAUCAAGCUCAUGCCAAUUUCUGAAUGAGAAUAAAUUACUUUGAAAGCAUUACAGCAGGGUUCCUCAAAUCUUGUCCUGGAGGACCAAUGCACUGCCGAGUUUAGCUCCAACCCUGA